UUGUGUAUGUUUCCCGACCUCUUCUCGAGACCUUGGGGCUCAGGUCCUGGUGGCCGUCGGGGGUCUAGUCUCCUGUGAUGUAGGAAAGAAGGAACUAGAGCGCCUAGCUCCCUAUCUCUGCUCCGCUUUUUACAAACGGUACUAAAUUCCUGGGAAGUUUCGGGAGGUACACGUCGGCACUCCCCAGCUAAUCUCUGAGAACUUUUAAUUCGGGGCCCUGGUGUACGUAAAGGUUAGUCCACGAGGUGCGCAGAAGGGACAAGGGCUACUAGGCCAGUCGCGCUCUCCGAGUUCUGGUGUCCUGUUUGCUCUGAGCUUUCCCUGGAGAACUUCAGCGAGAUGCUGUCUAAGGAAGACAAGUUAGCAAAUAAAUUGGCUAAGUAAGAGUCCAGCCUGUGAACGGCCUCCAAGCCUGAGCCCAGAGAAGACCGAGCCCCGGCACGAACCUGAUUCCUGCUGCGUGUGUGUUUUUUUAUAUUUGCCAAACACGAGGUUGUCCUUGUGAAUUUCCCUGCACAAUAGCUGACACCCGGGAGAGGGUGCGCGGGCCCCGGCGCCGCUGGGACAGAGACUGGCUUUCCAACCAGAGGAGAGAAUGGAUAGUGAAAUUUUUUUCUUGUCAGUUAACUUCAAAAUAAAACAAAACUGUUUGACCCGUGGAGUUUAUUCAGACGGAAAGCCAGGUUGCCUGACUCGUCCAGUUUGCAAUUUUCCCAGCGCAUCGGCUUUGGCCCCGGAGACAACACCCCCAGGGAGAGGCACAUUUUCAAAGCCACCCUUCACCGGCCCCAGGCCCGGGGCUCUGAUCUCCCUGAGCGCCUCAGUUGGUCCCGGAAAGCGAGGAGAAGAGGGGGUGCAGAGGAAGAAGUGCACCCAAAGAGCUGGCGAAGGCCCCCAUAGUGUUCCAGAGACGUCAGGUGGUGACGGCGGAAGCACUGAAAAUGCGCAGCCUAGAGGUCGCCCCAACCGCGUGCCCUGGCUCUCCGCCCCACUGCCCGCAGCCUGUCAUCGGGCUCCGGAACGCAGCGCCCACGCCGGGCUGUCGCGAUCGGGACCCGGCCCGCGGCCCCGCAGCCCCGGGCCGACCCCGCGCGCCGCCGGCGGCCGCCAGUUCGGCGCGGAGGUGGGCUCGCUGCGGCGGCGCGCGAAAGGUCACCGCGGUGGCAUUCCUGUCCGCGCGCUGUUUACGUGACUUAAUGUACUUCGUCCGCCGCGG
Molecule: long non-coding RNA, 1216 nt
Filed under: Sus scrofa (pig)
Lineage: Eukaryota; Metazoa; Chordata; Mammalia; Artiodactyla; Suidae
Description: lncRNA (ENSSSCG00070025634.1)
Source: RNAcentral